CAAUAGUGUAUAUUUAAGUUGUUGCAGUUAAAAAGCUCGUAGUUGGAUUUCGGGUGGGACGCAGCGGUCUCGCAUUGCGUUUGUACUGCUGCAGCCCUCCUUCUUGCCGGGGGCGGCCUCUCGGACUUCACUGUCUGGGGGUCAGAAUCGGCGAUGUUACUUUGAGUAAAUUAGAGUGUUCAAAGCAAGCUUACGCUCUGAAUAUAAUAGCAUGGGAUAACACGACAGGACUCUGGCCUAUCGUGUUGGUCUAUAGGACCAGAGUAAUGAUUAAGAGGGACAGUCGGGGGCAUUCGUAUUCCGUUGUCAGAGGUGAAAUUCUUGGAUUUACGGAAGACGAACAUCUGCGAAAGCAUUUGCCAAGGAUGUUUUCAUUG
RNAcentral lists this ribosomal RNA (377 nucleotides) under uncultured eukaryote. RNAcentral's name for it is "partial 18S ribosomal RNA". It matches the Rfam family "Eukaryotic small subunit ribosomal RNA", at positions 592 to 975 of the family's 1831-position model. The record is from RNAcentral.